This 468-nucleotide ribosomal RNA is filed under the name uncultured bacterium. RNAcentral's name for it is "partial 16S ribosomal RNA". It matches the Rfam family "Bacterial small subunit ribosomal RNA", at positions 28 to 507 of the family's 1533-position model. The record is from RNAcentral.
GACGAACGCUGGCGGCGUGCUUAACACAUGCCAGUCGAACGGAAAGGCCCUGCUUUUGUGGGGUGCUCGAGUGGCGAACGGGUGAGUAACACGUGAGUAACCUGCCCUUGACUUUGGGAUAACUUCAGGAAACUGGGGCUAAUACCGGAUAGGAGCUCCUGCUGCAUGGUGGGGGUUGGAAAGUUUCGGCGGUUGGGGAUGGACUCGCGGCUUAUCAGCUUGUUGGUGGGGUAGUGGCUUACCAAGGCUUUGACGGGUAGCCGGCCUGAGAGGGUGACCGGCCACAUUGGGACUGAGAUACGGCCCAGACUCCUACGGGAGGCAGCAGUGGGGAAUAUUGCACAAUGGGCGGAAGCCUGAUGCAGCAACGGCGCGUGCGGGAUGACGGCCUUCGGGUUGUAAACCGCUUUCGCCUGUGACGAAGCGUGAGUGACGGUAAUGGGUAAAGAAGCACCGGCUAACUACGUG